This is a non-coding RNA of Meleagris gallopavo (turkey), 2481 nucleotides long. The record is from RefSeq and is a predicted model, not a curated record. Lineage: Eukaryota; Metazoa; Chordata; Aves; Galliformes; Phasianidae.
GGGAAUUUGUUUUAAACUCUGAGAAAUGGACAUGAGUGCAUUCACCCCCUAAUCAGGAUAUAUUCAGCGUAGCUCACAGGGAGAGUGUGGAUAAGCCUGAAGUAUUCUACAGGGAUGGCUGUGCUAAUCUGGGGAGUGUCUGCUCUGUUUCUAGAGCUAGCUCUCUGCACCUGGUACCCCAAUUAACCCAUAUAAAACUAUCCUUCACUAUGCUGUACUUCUGCAUGCAGCAAUAUGAAUAGGAAUCAGAAAUGACCUGCGUGUAUUGAAUUAAACCAUGAUUUUCCAGUGAUCUCAGCAGCAGCAGCAGAAUGGAGACGUUUUAAUCAUUGUAUUAUCAGUUUGUGAGGAGGACAUCGAAACAGUGGAGCCCCUCCAAACUGCAGAAUCCGGGAGUCAGACAAAAUACUUUCCACCACCUUAUUUUUAAGAUAUUUAUGAAGACGGCAUACAGGCUCUUGUUCAUUGCUGGCAAAAAUGCACAGCUAAUGGUGUGAAAAUCAGUACCUCCAGAUGGUGAAGAGCUGUUCGGGGUGUCCUUCCUCACCUAUACAGAAGGAUGGUGAGAAUGCAAUGGCCCUCUGAUGCUCUCUGAAGGCCUGGUGAAAAGAUUCCAUCUGCACCAGCCUCUGAAGGAGAGCCCUUAAGGAACACAAUGUAGACCCACCCAAAAUCUUCCAGGAAUAUCUGCCAGGCAGAAAUAUUCCUCCAGGACACGCACGCAAGGUCUUUUUUGUGAAAGGUUCCAGUUGCUCUUACUUUUCACCUGUUUGCCCUGAGGUCUUGGGGGCUGGAGAAGAGAGCCAUUAGCACCCAAGAGCCCUACAAUUAUGUCAAAAUGGCACCCUGACUCUCUGUCUGUGCUGCAUUUUGCAAGAUGUGUAUCCCAAAGAUGGGAAAUUCUGCAGAGUAUUUCUAACCACAAAAGACAAACUGUAUGUCCCGUCCCUUGUGUUCCUUCUUCAAGAGGCUCAGCUGUGUUGCACAAGACCAGAUGUUACGUGCUGCAAAAUCAUGACUUCACGUACUCUCUGAAAUCUGUGAUGCUGAUGUUAGAAAAUUCAAGGAGCUAACGAGGAAAUAGAUGCUAGUGCUUAAUGCCUUAUUUUUGUACUUCUCUUUGCUCAUGGAUCACUCUUAGUGCAAAGAUCAAAAUUAAAGUAUGUCUCAACAGAUUCCUGUUUGGUCUCAGUGAUCUGCAGAUCAGGAAGACAUGAAUAAUAUGCUGCGAUUGGACAAGUAUAAUGGAAACAUUUCAUUGACGUACCUGGUGAUGCCUGAGAAUCCCAGCUUUCAGACGAGGCCCUCAGCUCUUUAUCUGAGCUCUAAUGUUUUGUUGAUGAAUGAUCACAUUGCAGUUUUGAAAAGUGCACAGAGACAACCCCAGGUUUGUAACUAGCAUUCACUUUGUUAACACAUAAUAUAAUAUGGAGGGUUGUUGCUGACUGAAGCUUGGCUGUUAAUGUUUUCCUGCAUAGCCACUACACUUACAGGCACCUAAUUUAUCUGAAAACAGUUUUUAGGAUUCUGAGAGAGAUGUUAAAUAAAACUAGAUUACAUUUUUCCAUUCUGUUUCACAUACAAAUCUCUAUAAAUAUAAACCAAUUCUGUGUGUGUAGUUUGAAAGUAAGCCUUGCUAGUGAGUACUUUUAGAGGGUUUUUCACAUCCUUACUUAGGGGCAGUAUCAUUUCUCCAUUCAACAUGAAGAACAUACUGGAAGAGACUGGAAAAUCUGCAAAAAUUACAGCUGUACCUCAAUAAGUAACUCAACUCACAGGUACAACUCUGCUGCAGCACUUUCCCGAACACAUAUCUCUAGUGCAAAAGUCAUUUUGGCACAAGAACUUUUUCCAUGCUAGCACGUCCUCAUUGGUUAUCAACAGAAUCAAAUGUUAUUUAUUCAAGCAGUAGUUAACAAGCAGGGGUUUAAUUACCCUAGAGCCUGUAGGCUGUUCCCUACAAAAUGCAAUCUCACGUUAGGACUUAAUUAUUUUUUGAAGAAUAAAAAGAUCUUGACAAGAAGAUAAGUAUGAGCUCAGGGAACCAGAGGUCCUGGUCCAAGUCAUUUUCCUCUGCUGAUUAUGGAUUUGGUGAAAAUCAAAUUUAAUUUUGGUGAAUUAAAAUUUCUGACAGAGCCAGACUCUUUGAAUGCUAAGUCAAAUAAAGAGCUCCAUGUGCUGAGUUAAUAAUUUUCUGGAAAAAUUAAUACCAAUUAAUGAGACCACCAAAUGCCUGUGCAAACCUUCAGUAAUAUACAGAAAGGGAUAUGAGAUACGAGCAUUUUGAGAACAAGAUGUAUUUUCCAUUUACUCACCACUUAUCCAAGGGACCACUUUUCUUUGUCCUCUUGUCUAGUCAGAUUGUUUUUUCUCCCGAAAAAAAAAAGUAAAUAAUGUAAAUCGUAUAUAUACACGUAUAUAUGUGUAAUGUACAAAAUGGUCAUUAACUACACAUCUAACUUGAGCAAAAAUUUGGUGGUC